RNAcentral lists this ribosomal RNA (534 nucleotides) under uncultured bacterium. RNAcentral's name for it is "bacterial SSU rRNA". It matches the Rfam family "Bacterial small subunit ribosomal RNA", at positions 777 to 1319 of the family's 1533-position model. The record is from RNAcentral.
AAUAGAUACCCAGGUAGUCCACGCCGUAAACGAUGAGUACUAAGUGUUGGGACCAAGUCUCAGUGCUGCAGUUAACGCAUUAAGUACUCCGCCUGAGUAGUACGUACGCAAGUAUGAAAUUCAAAGGAAUUGACGGGACCCCGCACAAGCGGUGGAUCAUGUUGUUUAAUUCGACGAUACACGAAAAACCUUACCAGGUCUUGACAUACCAUGCAAAGGCUUAGAAAUAAGUACGGAGGUUAACAUGGAUACAGGUGGUGCACGGUUGUCGUCAGCUCGUGUCGUGAGAUGUUGGGUUAAGUCCCGCAACGAGCGCAACCCUUAUUGCUAGUUACCAUCAUUAAGUUGGGGACUCUAGCGAGACUGCCAGUGAUAAACUGGAGGAAGGUGGGGAUGACGUCAAAUCAUCAUGCCCCUUAUGACCUGGGCUACAAACGUGAUACAAUGGCUGAAACAAAGGGAAGCGAUACCGCGAGGUGGAGCGAAUCCCAAAAAAGCAGUCUCAGUUCGGAUUGAAGUCUGCAACUCGACUUC